UCGGGAAUUUUGGGCAAUGGGCGAAAGCCUGACCCAGCAACGCCGCGUGAGGGAUGAAGUAUUUCGGUAUGUAAACCUCGAAAGAAUGGGAAGAAUAAAUGACGGUACCAUUUAUAAGCUCCGGCUAACUACGUGCCAGCAGCCGCGGUAAUACGUAGGGAGCAAGCGUUGUUCGGAUUUACUGGGCGUAAAGGGCGCGUAGGCGGCGCGGUAAGUCACUUGUGAAAUCUCUGAGCUUAACUCAGAACGGCCAAGUGAUACUGCUGUGCUAGAGUGCGGAAGAGGCAACCGGAAUUCUUGGUGUAGCGGUGAAAUGCGUAGAUAUCAAGAGGAACACCUGAGCCGAGGGCGGGUUGCUGGGCCGACACUGACGCUGAUGCGCGAAAGCCAGGGGAGCAAACG
Molecule: ribosomal RNA, 402 nt
Filed under: uncultured bacterium
Lineage: Bacteria
Description: bacterial SSU rRNA
Rfam family: Bacterial small subunit ribosomal RNA
Source: RNAcentral